Girardinichthys multiradiatus is the source of this 583-nucleotide long non-coding RNA. RefSeq lists it as uncharacterized. The record is from RefSeq and is a predicted model, not a curated record. The transcript has 2 exons. NCBI's taxonomy places the organism in Eukaryota, Metazoa, Chordata, Actinopteri, Cyprinodontiformes, Goodeidae.
UUGUUUUCAGUUUCCAGAUGGUGCUGGAGUUUGUCAGGUGUGCUGGGUGACAGGUGCAACUGAUCUGCUGAUUGCAUGGAGGAGUGUUUAAGCAGGAGGUUGCCAGCACUUUGACGCCAGAGUGUUUGUCUACAGUGGUAACAAGCUCAGCCACUACUAAGCUAUGCUUUGUUCUAAGCUGACUUUGUGGAUGUUCCUUUGCAGGCUAAAACCUGAACCUUUUGAUUACUUUGCUGAACAUUGACUUCGGUUCCAGACGUUUUCUGGACAAUCAAGAUUACCUACGUCUUGUGGAUUUUGUUCCCAAGGACCAAGCUGGCAGCUUUCUGUUUUCCUUUGUCUCCUGAACCAAGGCAUGAGCGUACCCUGUCCACCCUCCAGCGCAAAUACCUGUACAUUGAACUAACUCCUGAUCUCACCACAGCUCAUUCAACAGCACCAGUGAAGCCAUCUGGAUUACUCCGUCUUGCAAGCCUGGACCCCGAAUCCCUCUACCCCUGGUGACCUGACUGCACUUAUUUAUUGGCAAUUCACCCGUUCACGUUCCAGACUCACUUGCUGUAAAUAAAACACCUUUUACUGA